GACGAACGCUGGCGGCGUGCUUAACACAUGCAAGUCGAACGAUGAAGAAAAGAAUCGAAGCUUCGGCAGAAAUUCAUUUCGGAUUAGUGGCAGACGGGUGAGUAACGCGUGAGCAACCUACCUCUUACAAAGGGAUAGCCUCGGGAAACCGGGAUUAAUACCAUAUAACAUUGUGACGAAGCAUUUCGAUGCAAUCAAAGCUACGGCGGUAAGAGAUGGGCUCGCGUCCCAUUAACCGGAUGGUGAGGUAACGGCUCACCAUAGUGACGAUGGGUAACCGGCCUGAGAGGGUGAACGGUCACACUGGAACUGAGACACGGUCCAGACUCCUACGGGAGGCAGCAGUGGGGAAUAUUGCACAAUGGAGGGAACUCUGAUGCAGCGACGCCGCGUGAGUGAUGAAGGAAUUCGUUUCGUAAAACUCUGUUCUAUGGGAAGAAAAGGACGGUACCAUAGGAGAAAGCUCCGGCUAAAUACGUG
This 480-nucleotide ribosomal RNA is filed under the name uncultured bacterium. RNAcentral's name for it is "partial 16S ribosomal RNA". It matches the Rfam family "Bacterial small subunit ribosomal RNA", at positions 28 to 507 of the family's 1533-position model. The record is from RNAcentral.